CCAUUGGCGAGGUAUGCACAAGUACAGCAGAUGAGAAGACAUCCAAAUAUGAAAAGGCUGACCAAUUAGAGAUGGAUGAUGGGGAAGCUGAAUCAAGUCACUCAAAGGAGAAAAUAUGCGGAGGUGCAGGUUCGCCGGGUAAAAAGAGGGGAAGACUGAAACUAAAGAAGUUGCCAUUAAGCAUUUGUAGCUCUAGGGAUAAAGCAAACCCCAAGGAUGAUAUUGUUCCCAGAAGUUCCCCAUUGACUGACAAGAACAUGGGCAAUCCUACAACUCGCAAUAAGCCAUUGUUUUCUAUGGAGCCUUCAGCUGAUAAUCUGAUGCCAAUUGAUGUUGCACCCAUGCGGAAAUGCCAGGAGUUCAAGGCACCUGCUUGUGUUAAGCAGAAUAAAGUGAUACAGUCAUAAUUGUCAAAUCCUUCUGGUAGAAGUUGAUAGCUGAGGUAGAAUUCGUGAUGCUCUUUUUCUUUUCUUUUCUUUUUACUUUUUUUUUAGUAGGAACGGCA
RNAcentral lists this unclassified non-coding RNA (505 nucleotides) under Hevea brasiliensis (rubber tree). The record is from RNAcentral. Lineage: Eukaryota; Viridiplantae; Streptophyta; Magnoliopsida; Malpighiales; Euphorbiaceae.